UACGGAGGGGGCGAGCGUUGUUCGGAGUUACUGGGCGUAAAGCGCACGUAGGCGGUGCGGUAAGUCAGGGGUUAAAGGCUGCAGCUCAACUGCAGUAAGGCCUUUGAUACUAUCGUGCUAGAGUGUCAGAGAGGAUGGCGGAAUUCCCGGUGUAGCGGUGAAAUGCGUAGAUAUCGGGAGGAAUACCAGUGGCGAAGGCGGCCAUCUGGCUGAUAACUGACGCUGAGGUGCGAGAGCGUGGGGAGCAAACAGG
Molecule: ribosomal RNA, 253 nt
Filed under: uncultured microorganism
Description: partial 16S ribosomal RNA
Rfam family: Bacterial small subunit ribosomal RNA
Source: RNAcentral